AUCUACGGCCAUAGAACUCAGAAAACAUCGCAUCGCGUCCCGUCAGCUCCGCGCAAUUAACCUGGGUGUCGCUCGGUUAGUACCGACGUGGGGGACCAGUUGGGAAUCCCGAGUGCUGUAGUUU
Ribosomal RNA from Kwoniella mangroviensis CBS 10435, 124 nucleotides. The record is from Rfam. NCBI's taxonomy places the organism in Eukaryota, Fungi, Basidiomycota, Tremellomycetes, Tremellales, Cryptococcaceae.